GUCGGGAUAGCUCAGCUGGUAGAGCAAAGGACUGAAAAUC
Molecule: transfer RNA, 40 nt
Filed under: Acalypha allenii
Lineage: Eukaryota; Viridiplantae; Streptophyta; Magnoliopsida; Malpighiales; Euphorbiaceae
Description: partial tRNA-Phe
Source: RNAcentral